RNAcentral lists this ribosomal RNA (206 nucleotides) under uncultured Staphylococcus sp. RNAcentral's name for it is "partial 16S ribosomal RNA". It matches the Rfam family "Bacterial small subunit ribosomal RNA", at positions 157 to 354 of the family's 1533-position model. The record is from RNAcentral. Lineage: Bacteria; Bacillati; Bacillota; Bacilli; Caryophanales; Staphylococcaceae.
CGGCUAAUAACCGGACGUAAUAUAUUGUAACCGCAUGGUUCAAUAGUGAAAGACGGUUUUGCUGUCACUUAUAGAUGGAUCCGCGCCGCAUUAGCUAGUUGGUAAGGUAACGGCUUACCAAGGCAACGAUGCGUAGCCGACCUGAGAGGGUGAUCGGCCACACUGGAACUGAGACACGGUCCAGACUCCUACGGGAGGCAGCAGAC